Salvelinus namaycush (lake trout) is the source of this 3668-nucleotide long non-coding RNA. RefSeq lists it as uncharacterized. The transcript has 2 exons. Lineage: Eukaryota; Metazoa; Chordata; Actinopteri; Salmoniformes; Salmonidae. The record is from RefSeq and is a predicted model, not a curated record.
AGACUUUAUUGACAUGGCAAGUUAAAUUACUUACAUUGUCAAAGUAUACAUAUAACACAACAUGGUGGGACCAACAGCAAAAAGGCAUCAAUCAUAGUAAUAGUGGAAAUGGGAUUACUAUUAACAGCAACAACAAUAUUAAUGAGAAAUAGUAGUAAAUAAAAGCAAUAGUAGUAGACCAAUCUCCACAUCUUUCUCUCUCUGUGUGUUUGAGGCUACCUCUUCUAGGACCAUGUGCUUUAUUCAGACGGUUUAGUUUUUUUAAUGCGUUUCAAACCCACUGCUGUUUAUCAGACACCACAUGGUGACUAAUGCCAACGCUAACGCCACCUACCUGCCUGCUCUGAAAAGUCCCUGUGUGUGUCUGUGUUCUGUGUGUUUGUGUGUCUCUGCCUCCAGUGAAAAUCCUUCCAGUAUUUCUCAGAAUAUUCCUUACCCUUUAAUAACGGAACUAAAUAUGGUUUUCAUUAAGUGAUGGCCAACAGCAUUUACCUGUCAGAACGGAGGCAUCCUGUUCUGAGCCAAGGCUGAGUUGGUGUUCAUUAGACAGCUCCCAAAUGUCUCUCAGCUGAACUCAGCCACCCACUCUGACAUUUAGAACACUAGGCUGCCUCCUGAUGCCAGUAGGUCUGACAUCACUAGGCUGCCCCCUGAUGCCAGUAGGUCUGACAUCACUAGGCUGCCCCCUGAUGCCAGUAGGUCUGACAUCACUAGGCUGCCCCCUGAUGCCAGUAGGUCUGACAACCUGACUGUGCUAUGUUGUGUGUGUGUGUGUGUGUGUGUCUGUAUGGGCUAGUGUAAUGGCGACUAUUUCCAUAAUUUAUCAAGCCGCUGGACUGAAUCAUUGAGCCUGAAAUUGUUGACCAUUUUAGAGUGAAGAGCUCCCCACUAGACCUGACAUUGGAAUGCACGUGGACACACACACACACACACACACACACACACACACACACACACACACACACACACACACACACACACACACACACACACACACACACACACACACACACACACACACACACGUACACACUCUCCUCCUUGCUCCACAGGUGAGUUCAGCAGCCCUGCGCUCCAACAUCACUUCCUGGAAGCUUGGUAGAGCAACGUUGAUUUUGGCUUAGAAAGGGACACGUUGGCGUACGACCGACCGGGACUGAGGGGAAAAUCAGAGUGGGAGACGCCCAGCCGCCUUUCAUUUGUCCUUCGUCCUCGCCAGCAACAGAAACCUGGAACGGAGGGAGGGGUCCACUGCGGUCAUGAAAUGGUCCAAUGGUUGGACUGCAUGUUGUUUUGAGACUUGUUGAGGAAUCAUGACACAGCGAGGGAGGAGAGAGAGAUCUGUGUAUCUGAUUGACUUCAAAGAAUGUGUAAUUCACAGAGAAACACUGCCUCUGUGUGACGUGAACGCACUGCGAUCUGUUUUCUCCCGGGCUCUGCUUAAAAUGUGAUGUGGGAUAGCUAAUUCUCUGUUUAGGAUGUGAUGUGGGAUAGCUAAUUCUCUGUUUAGGAUGUGAUGUGGGAUAGCUAAUUCUCUGUUUAGGAUGUGAUGUGGGAUAGCUAAUUCUCUGUUUAGGAUGUGAUGUGGGAUAGCUAAUUCUCUGUUUUAGAAUGUGAUGUGGGAUAGCUAAUUCUCUGUUUAGGAUGUGAUGUGGGAUAGCUAAUUCUCUGUUUAGAAUGUGAUGUGGGAUAGCUAAUUCUCUGUUUAGAAUGUGAUGUGGGAUAGCUAAUUCUCUGUUUAGAAUGUGAUGUGGGAUAGCUAAUUCUCUGUUUAGAAUGUGAUGUGGGAUAGCUAAUUCUCUGUUUAGGAUGUGAUGUGGGAUAGCUAAUUCUCUGUUUAGAAUGUGAUAGCUAAUUCUCUGUUUAGAAUGUGAUGUGGGAUAGCUAAUUCUCUGUUUAGGAUGUGGUGUGGGAUAGCUAAUUCUCUGUUUAGAAUGUGAUAGCUAAUUUUCUGUUUAGAAUGUGAUGUGGGAUAGCUAAUUCUCUGUUUAGGAUGUGAUGUGGGAUAGCUAAUUCUCUGUUUAGAAUGUGAUAGCUGUUUAGAAUGUGAUGUGGGAUAGCUAAUUCUCUGUUUAGGAUGUGAUGUGGGAUAGCUAAUUCUCUGUUUAGGAUGUGAUGUGGGAUAGCUAAUUCUCUGUUUAGAAUGUGAUGUGGGAUAGCUAAUUCUCUGUUUAGAAUGUGAUAGCUAAUUCUCUGUUUAGAAUGUGAUGUGGGAUAGCUAAUUCUCUGUUUAGAAUGUGAUGUGGGAUAGCUAAUUCUCUGUUUAGAAUGUGAUGUGGGAUAGCUAAUUCUCUGUUUAGAAUGUGAUGUGGGAUAGCUAAUUCUCUGUUUAGAAUGUGAUGUGGGAUAGCUAAUUCUCUGUUUAGAAUGUGAUGUGGGAUAGCUAAUUCUCUGUUUAGAAUGUGAUGUGGGAUAGCUAAUUCUCUGUUUAGAAUGUGAUGUGGGAUAGCUAAUUCUCUGUUUAGAAUGUGAUGUGGGAUAGCUAAUUCUCUGUUUAGAAUGUGAUGUGGGAUAGCUAAUUCUCUGUUUAGGAUGUGAUAGCUAAUUCUCUGUUUAGAAUGUGAUGUGGGAUAGCUAAUUCUCUGUUUAGAAUGUGAUGUGGGAUAGCUAAUUCUCUGUUUAGGAUGUGGUGUGGGAUAGCUAAUUCUCUGUUUAGGAUGUGGUGUGGGAUAGCUAAUUCUCUGUUUAGAAUGUGAUAGCUAAUUCUCUGUUUAGAAUGUGAUGUGGGAUAGCUAAUUCUCUGUUUAGAAUGUGAUAGCUAAUUCUCUGUUUAGAAUGUGAUAGCUAAUUCUCUGUUUAGAAUGUGAUGUGGGAUAGCUAAUUCUCUGUUUAGGAUGUGAUGUGGGAUAGCUAAUUCUCUGUUUAGGAUGUGAUGUGGGAUAGCUAAUUCUCUGUUUAGGAUGUGAUGUGGGAUAGCUAAUUCUCUGUUUAGAAUGUGAUGUGGGAUAGCUAAUUCUCUGUUUAGGAUGUGAUGUGGGAUAGCUAAUUCUCUGUUUAGAAUGUGAUGUGGGAUAGCUAAUUCUCUGUUUAGAAUGUGAUGUGGGAUAGCUAAUUCUCUGUUUAGAAUGUGAUGUGGGAUAGCUAAUUCUCUGUUUAGGAUGUGGUGUGGGAUAGCUAAUUCUCUGUUUAGGAUGUGGUGUGGGAUAGCUAAUUCUCUGUUUAGGAUGUGGUGUGGGAUAGCUAAUUCUCUGUUUAGAAUGUGAUAGCGAAUUCUCUGUUUAGAAUGUGAUGUGGGAUAGCUAAUUCUCUGUUUAGAAUGUGAUAGCUAAUUCUCUGUUUAGAAUGUGAUAGCUAAUUCUCUGUUUAGAAUGUGAUGUGGGAUAGCUAAUUCUCUGUUUAGGAUGUGAUGUGGGAUAGCUAAUUCUCUGUUUAGGAUGUGAUGUGGGAUAGCUAAUUCUCUGUUUAGAAUGUGAUGUGGGAUAGCUAAUUCUCUGUUUAGGAUGUGAUGUGGGAUAGCUAAUUCUCUGUUUAGAAUGUGAUGUGGGAUAGCUAAUUCUCUGUUUAGAAUGUGAUGUGGGAUAGCUAAUUCUCUGUUUAGAAUGUGAUGUGGGAUAGCUAAUUCUCUGUUUAGAAUGUGAUGUGGGAUAGCUAAUUCUCUGUUUAGAAUGUGAUGUGGGAUAGCUAAUUCUCUGGAGUUAAAAUAAAAAAGUAUUUCUUUGGGGGAAAAA